This 88-nucleotide transfer RNA is filed under the name Armatimonadota bacterium. RNAcentral describes it as "Armatimonadetes bacterium (activated sludge metagenome) tRNA-Ser". It matches the Rfam family "tRNA". From Rfam's summary of the family: Transfer RNA (tRNA) molecules are approximately 80 nucleotides in length. Their secondary structure includes four short double-helical elements and three loops (D, anti-codon, and T loops). The record is from RNAcentral. Lineage: Bacteria; Bacillati; Armatimonadota.
GGAGAGAUGGCAGAGUGGUCGAUUGCACCUGUCUUGAAAACAGGCAAACCGCAAGGUUUCAGGAGUUCGAAUCUCCUUCUCUCCUCCA